This 18-nucleotide transfer RNA is filed under the name Phlomoides milingensis. Its description in RNAcentral is "partial tRNA-Leu". The record is from RNAcentral. Lineage: Eukaryota; Viridiplantae; Streptophyta; Magnoliopsida; Lamiales; Lamiaceae. RNAcentral also lists the same sequence under 46 other names.
GGGGAUAUGGCGAAAUCG